CGAGGGCUAAACUGUCUCCUUUUUCAAAUCAAUGAAAUUGAUCUUCCCGUGCAGAAGCGGGAAUAAACCCAUAAGACGAGAAGACCCUAUGGAGCUUUAGACACGAAGACAGAUCUUAAUGUACCCGCUAAAACAAAAGACCGAAUCAGAAGAAGCCUGCCCUAAUGUCUUUGGUUGGGGCGACCGCGGGGAAACAAAAAUCCCCCACGUGGAACGAGACCACCUCUCUUACAACCAAGAGUAACAGCUCUAAUUAACAGAACAUCUGACCAUAAGAUCCGGCAAUGCCGAUCAACGGACCGAGUUACCCUAGGGAUAACAGCGCAAUCCCCUUUUAGAGCCCAUAUCGACAAGGGGGCUUACGACCUCGAUGUUGGAUCAGGACAUCCUAAUGGUGUAGCCGCUAUUAAGGGUUCGUUUGUUCAACGAUUAAAGUCCU
RNAcentral lists this ribosomal RNA (439 nucleotides) under Sandelia bainsii. RNAcentral describes it as "partial large subunit ribosomal RNA". It matches the Rfam family "Bacterial large subunit ribosomal RNA", at positions 2005 to 2597 of the family's 2925-position model. Lineage: Eukaryota; Metazoa; Chordata; Actinopteri; Anabantiformes; Anabantidae. The record is from RNAcentral.